Antechinus flavipes (yellow-footed antechinus) is the source of this 269-nucleotide long non-coding RNA. RefSeq lists it as uncharacterized. NCBI's taxonomy places the organism in Eukaryota, Metazoa, Chordata, Mammalia, Dasyuromorphia, Dasyuridae. The record is from RefSeq and is a predicted model, not a curated record. The transcript is spliced from 3 exons.
CUUUCUGCUCUUCUAUUGUUUUUUCUGAGUCAACUGGAAACUUGCAGUGAUAGAGAAAACCAGAAUCAUACCCACCCUAGAAAAGAGAUGCAAAAAAAAAUCAUCAAAUUUUUAAAAAUAACUUUGAUGGGAAAGAAUACUCAUACAUACAGUCCUGGGAUGUAGUGGCCAUGAGACAAAUGCAAACAAGCUGAAUGAAGAAGACACGGCUAAUGUUCAACUGGAUAUAAAACAAAGCAACAAAGCUAAUGCUAAUAAAUAUUAGCAUA